This is a long non-coding RNA of Heterocephalus glaber (naked mole-rat), 1963 nucleotides long. Lineage: Eukaryota; Metazoa; Chordata; Mammalia; Rodentia; Bathyergidae. The record is from Ensembl.
CACAAGAAAGGGUCGUUAUAAAGUGAAUUCAGCUUUCUCAGCCCUCUCUGCUCCCUCUCUCACCAUUGUGGUCUCUUUCACUUCGGCCUGCUUCCCUUUCCUGUUUCCACCAUGGAUGAAGUAGCACAUGAUCCUCACCAUAAGCCAAGCAGAUGCCAGCACCCUGUUCUUGGACUUCUAGAACUUUACAUCUUAUAUGUGCAGUUCUGGAUGGAAAAUGUGAUGAACUAUAAGAACUCCUCCAGUGCAUGCUGAAAAAGGAAAAAGGAAGCUAUACUACCCCAAGCCACUGGAAACAUCACCUAAUGAUUUCAAACGCAUUCCUCUUUGUCUGAAUGCAUUCCAACCAAAAGUUAUUUCUAACCACCUAGUAUUCCAGGGUGCUGGUGUGUGUGCAGCCAUCUCCCUUUAUAUUUUAUUAAAGGUGGAAUCAAGGAUUGCAUCUAGCCUAUGUUCAAACUUUUUAAUGGAAUCAAAAUCCUCUAAGGAUUAUCUUAAAUCCAGGUAAUACUGUUAAGUGGAACCUCAAUGUAGCCAAAUAGCUGCAUGGUUAGAAACAUGUAUCUCUGUCUCCUUAAAGUGAUCCCAUGAAUCUGGGUUUCUGUCUCCGAUCCACUUAAAUGUUGGCAUAUGUAUUAUGAGGAAACACAUUGAUGGAAACUCAAAAAACACUCAAACAAAUGCCAGGAUGUCUCUGUAUAAGGAUGGUUUGGAAAAAUUCUAUCAGUCUAAUCCAUCUCAUUUAAUCUCAUCUUCUGAAAGACCCAAAUUCUAUUCCAUUCCUGUGAAUAAGACUAUCUUUUUUCCUUAUCCAGUAUCUUCUUCUCCUUUUCUGUGUCAGUACCCCCCAGCUUAUGCAUCAGCCAAACAGCUCCCCUUUUCCAGGGCAACCUCAAGUUUUACUUCCUACUGAUGCCUUCCUAAUGCAUAUUAAUUUCCAGAGCCUGUCUCAUUUGUGAAACUUGCAAUUCCCCCCAUACCCAAGUCACUGCAGAGGCCAGGCCAGGACCUGUGUUCAGCUUUGCUUUCUCUGCAUGGCACUAGGCUCAAGGCACAAGCAGCCACUUAUCAUGGAGAAAGUUAUCAUCAUGACAUAGUAGUUCCCCCAGACACUGUGUAGCAUUUUUAUGAUUAUAUGUUUGCAGUACAUAAUAAUUAUAUUCAUUGUGGGCAAUCACAUGUUCGUGGACAUAACACAUCUUAAUUCAUUUUUGCAUCCCCUUUCCCUCCCCUUGGUUUGCGCCUCCCUCCACUUCUUGGUCACCGUCCCUUUUGCAAAUGAUCUCCAUGCUUCCUAUUAUCUAUCUUUUAUUUUGCUCUUUAAUUUAUUUAUAUUUUGGGUUUCUCAUAUAAGAGAAACUAUGCAAUAUUUAAGCUUGUAUAUCUGGUUUAUUUUACCUAACAUAUUGCACCUAUUUUUCCCACAAAUGACUCAAGUUUACCCUUCUUUAUGGCAGAGUAGUAUACCAUUCUAUAUAAAUACCACGUUUUCUUUUCUUUUUUUUUUUUUUUGGCACUGAGGAUUGAACUUGGGUCCUUGCGCUUGUGCCGCAGGUGAUGAAACAACUGAGCUAAAUUCCCGGCCAUGUUUUCUUUAUUUAUUCAUCUGUUGAUGGGCAUAUAGGCUGCUUUCAAGAGUUAGCUAUUGUGAGUUAUGCUAUUAUUAAUAUGGGUAUGAAUGUAUCACUGGAAUAUGAUGUAUUUAAUUCUUUCAAGAAGAUACCCAGUAGGAGAAUAGCUGAGUUGAGUGGGACUUCUACUUUUAGUUUUUGAAGAGCCUACAUACUGAUUUCCAUAGUAGUUCUAUUAGUUUGCAGUCCUACCAAGAAUGUAGAAAGGUUUCUUUUCUCCUGCAGCUUCACCAGCAUUUGUUAUUAUGUGAUUUCUUUAUAAUAGCCAUUCUUUCUAGAGUAAGAAUCUCAGUGUUGGAUUUUUGAAUGAGAGGUCAUCAUUUUACAGAGGA